GUGGUCAAAGAACUGGUUGUGCUUCGCUGAAAGAGAAAAGACCGGGCAGAAAUGAGCUGUGGCUGCACAAAGGAUCGUGUGAUGAAAGAGAUGGAUUUAUAGUUAUCCCGAGGGCAAGCUGAGAGCUGGACUUGGGCUUAAUGAAAAGCAGCCGUUCAAAGAACCAAACCUGCCUGACGACACUGUACUCCUACACCCGGGAGCAGCCUCUGCUGAAUAUAUCCCAGCGAGUAGAUAGAAGUCAGCGUGUUGAAAGGAUCUGAAAGAAAAAGAAGUCAGUCCAUGAAGGUGGAUAUGGGGAAUGGCGAAAGAGAAAGACUAUUCUGAUGACACGCCCCAAUAAACACUGCCCACCUUGACUUAGAUCUCCA
Molecule: long non-coding RNA, 371 nt
Organism: Mastomys coucha (southern multimammate mouse)
Lineage: Eukaryota; Metazoa; Chordata; Mammalia; Rodentia; Muridae
Exons: 2
Source: RefSeq, a predicted model, not a curated record